This 587-nucleotide ribosomal RNA is filed under the name Aspergillus flavus. RNAcentral describes it as "eukaryotic LSU rRNA". The stretch from base 216 to 369 matches the Rfam family "5.8S ribosomal RNA". The record is from RNAcentral. Lineage: Eukaryota; Fungi; Ascomycota; Eurotiomycetes; Eurotiales; Aspergillaceae.
CUUCCGUAGGGUGAACCUGCGGAAGGAUCAUUACCGAGUGUAGGGUUCCUAGCGAGCCCAACCUCCCACCCGUGUUUACUGUACCUUAGUUGCUUCGGCGGGCCCGCCAUUCAUGGCCGCCGGGGGCUCUCAGCCCCGGGCCCGCGCCCGCCGGAGACACCACGAACUCUGUCUGAUCUAGUGAAGUCUGAGUUGAUUGUAUCGCAAUCAGUUAAAACUUUCAACAAUGGAUCUCUUGGUUCCGGCAUCGAUGAAGAACGCAGCGAAAUGCGAUAACUAGUGUGAAUUGCAGAAUUCCGUGAAUCAUCGAGUCUUUGAACGCACAUUGCGCCCCCUGGUAUUCCGGGGGGCAUGCCUGUCCGAGCGUCAUUGCUGCCCAUCAAGCACGGCUUGUGUGUUGGGUCGUCGUCCCCUCUCCGGGGGGGACGGGCCCCAAAGGCAGCGGCGGCACCGCGUCCGAUCCUCGAGCGUAUGGGGCUUUGUCACCCGCUCUGUAGGCCCGGCCGGCGCUUGCCGAACGCAAAUCAAUCUUUUUCCAGGUUGACCUCGGAUCAGGUAGGGAUACCCGCUGAACUUAAGCAUAUCAU